This 1372-nucleotide ribosomal RNA is filed under the name uncultured bacterium. RNAcentral describes it as "bacterial SSU rRNA". It matches the Rfam family "Bacterial small subunit ribosomal RNA", at positions 28 to 1381 of the family's 1533-position model. The record is from RNAcentral.
GAUGAACGCUGGCGGCGUGCCUAAUACAUGCAAGUCGAGCGAACGGACGAGAAGCUUGCUUCUCUGAUGUUAGCGGCGGACGGGUGAGUAACACGUGGAUAACCUACCUAUAAGACUGGGAUAACUUCGGGAAACCGUAGCUAAUACCGGAUAAUAUUUUGAACCGCAUGGUUCAAAAGUGAAAGACGGUCUUGCUGUCACUUAUAGAUGGAUCCGCGCUGCAUUAGCUAGUUGGUAAGGUAACGGCUUACCAAGGCAACGAUGCAUAGCCGACCUGAGAGGGUGAUCGGCCACACUGGAACUGAGACACGGUCCAGACUCCUACGGGAGGCAGCAGUAGGGAAUCUUCCGCAAUGGGCGAAAGCCUGACGGAGCAACGCCGCGUGAGUGAUGAAGGUCUUCGGAUCGUAAAACUCUGUUAUUAGGGAAGAACAUAUGUGUAAGUAACUGUGCACAUCUUGACGGUACCUAAUCAGAAAGCCACGGCUAACUACGUGCCAGCAGCCGCGGUAAUACGUAGGUGGCAAGCGUUAUCCGGAAUUAUUGGGCGUAAAGCGCGCGUAGGCGGUUUUUUAAGUCUGAUGUGAAAGCCCACGGCUCAACCGUGGAGGGUCAUUGGAAACUGGAAAACUUGAGUGCAGAAGAGGAAAGUGGAAUUCCAUGUGUAGCGGUGAAAUGCGCAGAGAUAUGGAGGAACACCAGUGGCGAAGGCGACUUUCUGGUCUGUAACUGACGCUGAUGUGCGAAAGCGUGGGGAUCAAACAGGAUUAGAUACCCUGGUAGUCCACGCCGUAAACGAUGAGUGCUAAGUGUUAGGGGGUUUCCGCCCCUUAGUGCUGCAGCUAACGCAUUAAGCACUCCGCCUGGGGAGUACGACCGCAAGGUUGAAACUCAAAGGAACUGACGGGGACCCGCACAAGCGGUGGAGCAUGUGGUUUAAUUCGAAGCAACGCGAAGAACCUUACCAAAUCUUGACAUCCUUUGACAACUCUAGAGAUAGAGCCUUCCCCUUCGGGGGACAAAGUGACAGGUGGUGCAUGGUUGUCGUCAGCUCGUGUCGUGAGAUGUUGGGUUAAGUCCCGCAACGAGCGCAACCCUUAAGCUUAGUUGCCAUCAUUAAGUUGGGCACUCUAAGUUGACUGCCGGUGACAAACCGGAGGAAGGUGGGGAUGACGUCAAAUCAUCAUGCCCCUUAUGAUUUGGGCUACACACGUGCUACAAUGGACAAUACAAAGGGCAGCGAAACCGCGAGGUCAAGCAAAUCCCAUAAAGUUGUUCUCAGUUCGGAUUGUAGUCUGCAACUCGACUACAUGAAGCUGGAAUCGCUAGUAAUCGUAGAUCAGCAUGCUACGGUGAAUACGUUCCCGGGUCU